AACCCAGCUUGUGUCGCAGUUAGUUCAUAAGCUGCCUGAUGUGUGAUUGGUUUCUCUGGUCAUGUGAUUUCAGAGAAACGACUCAGAGUUGGUACUUAAAGCUGAGAGGACAGACAGAGAGAGGACAGACAGAGAGAGGACCGAGAGAGACAGACAGAGAGAGAGGACAGACAGAGAGAGGACAGACAGAGAGAGGACCGAGAGAGACAGACAGAGAGAAGACAUUUUCAGUUCUGCUUCACCUUCAUCUCUUCUCCAACAGAGAAACGACUCAGAGGCUGAUCAGAACGACAGAGAGAGGACGUGAGGACAGGAGGACUCAGAGCUCAGAGGUGCUGGACCUGCAUCAACUUACAGUGUGAUUUAAAGUCAGCUUCUUCAUCACUCUGAAGAGGAGAUCUCAACACUUCAGGAGGACCAGGAGACAUGGAGAUGGCUGCAGAUGAAGACAGAACAUCAGAAUAUAUUGUUAUAGGAGUAACAGCAGUAGGAAUAGGACUCCUGCUCCUUGCAGCUCCGCUCACUAAGGGGACUAGUUUAGCAUUAGUAGCAUCAGUAGGAGGAAUAGUAACAUUUGUAGCAGCAAGACAACGAAAUAAUAGACAAUAGAAGAGCUGGGGAAAGACUUCAUGGAGAUUGUUGAACCGCUGAAGAACAACCUGGAAGAAAUAAAGAGGAUGUGUGAGAAGUUGGAGCAAAGAUCAGCUGGAGAUCAGGCUGGAAAGACUCUGACAGACAUGGAGGGGUUACAGAGGAUUCUGACACGAGUUUCUGAACUGGCAAGAAGGAGUAAAGAACUUUUAUCUUUCACUGCAAUCCUAAUGGGAGAUAUUCAGGGCAUGUUAUUGCUCCUUGUGGAAGUCUUCAGAGUCACUGCGACCCCUGAAGAGGAUGAAAAGUUAGUAAAGUCCAUCAUCCAGUCAGCUGAUCUCUGUCAGGAGGUCGUUGUCAGGUUUGAUCAGAUGAAGGAAGAACUCAAAGACUUCACUGAAAAAUAAAGACAGAAGCAGCAGGAGAAGAGAAAGACUGGUUCACACUGAAACUACUGACUAACUGUUAGUGUUUGAUCAUUAUCUAACAUACUGGACUCAUAGUAACUGAAUCAGAUGAUCAAUAAUACUUUAUGAUAUUUCAUAUGUUGGACUGUUGAACACUGAGACUGAAUUAUUGUAUUUUUGGUUGAUACGCCUCUUCAACAUUGCGUGGACGUUUAGGACAGUGUCU
Perca fluviatilis (European perch) is the source of this 1224-nucleotide long non-coding RNA. RefSeq lists it as uncharacterized. The transcript is spliced from 4 exons. Lineage: Eukaryota; Metazoa; Chordata; Actinopteri; Perciformes; Percidae. The record is from RefSeq and is a predicted model, not a curated record.